Molecule: non-coding RNA, 8441 nt
Organism: Caretta caretta (loggerhead turtle)
Lineage: Eukaryota; Metazoa; Chordata; Testudines; Cheloniidae
Source: RefSeq, a predicted model, not a curated record
UGUAUGUAAUUGACUGAGAUUCAACUUUUAGAGAGAGAUUUUAAAAGUGUUUCCACCUUCAUGAAGCUAGAGUUUGAAAUGUAAACAUGUUAAAGACUUGGAAGAGGGGUAACUGUCGUGGUCUAUGUUUAGCUAUAUCUUUUUAGAGGUUUACAAUUUAUGCAAAGGUUUCCUGUAUUCUGUUAAUUCAGAGAUUAUACCCAUCGCCCAUGUCACCUGCCCAAUUCCAGCUCCCUCUCCUUGAAAUCACUGGGGUUAGGGGCUGAAGGAUGGAGGGAAUGUUUAUAGCUGAAAUCACUGAAAUGUAUUUUGCAAGGUUAAUAUCAGUGAGAUCUGUUCCUCUCUCUUGUUCGGACAUUUUCUCUGGGGAUCCCGCAGACAGAAAGGAGCAGGUGUUACCAUCUUGGGUUCCGAUCCCAACGGUGACUGUCUACACUAGUAAUUCUCAAACUGUGGGGCACGUCCUCCCAAUGGAGGCGCAGGAAUAUGUGAAGGGAGGCGUGACCUCUGGCUGGGACUCUUGAAGAAGGAACUGGCGUAUCUGGGAGGUGGGGAUAAAUGCUCAGGCUCUCAAAAGCCAGGUGGAGCAGCAGGGCAGAAAUCAGGGUGGCAAUGGGGUGCUAAGUCUGCUGUGAACAGUGAUAUUGACGAAUAUCACUUUUCACUCGGUCACCCUUACUUCUGUGCUGCUGCUGGAGGCCUUCAGAGCCGGGCGCAUCGCCAGCAGCGACUCUGCCUUUAGAGCUGGGUGGCCAUAUAUGUGCUUGUGAGGGCAGGGGCGUAAAUGACCACACACACAAAGAAGGGGGGGCCAAUGAAACACUUUUGAGAACCACUGGUCUACACUCUUAUGGUCACCACGAUUACAGAAGGAUAAAUCUUCUCCAAAGUAUGUCUUGUGAAGUAUCAUAGGAAAAGUCAUUGCCUGCUGAAUAUUAUUGUCCUGUUAAAAUGUGUCUAUCAGCGCUGUCCAUGGAGCUCUGAGAGUUUGCUGUAUGUUUGUUACAUGCUGGAAAGCUGGAAAACGCCCACAAAGUAGCUCUUUAGAGACAAUGGUACCUGCAGACCAGCUAGGUGCUAAGUGGCCAUUAAUUGCUUAGCUGGCCAUUCGCCAGCUGUGGAGCUGUGAACAAGAGAGUUACAAUUCCCCCCUGGAACUCUGACCUGGGAUAUUCUAUCUACUACCCAAGAUCCAUAAACCUGGAAAUCCUGGGCGCCCCAUCAUCUCAGGCAUUGGCACCCUGACAGGAGGAUUGUCUGGCUAUGUAGACUCCCUCCUCAGGCCCUACGCUACCAGCACUCCCAGCUACCUUCGAGACACCACUGACUUCCUGAGGAAACUUCAAUCCAUCGGUGAUCUUCCUGAUAACACCAUCCUGGCCACUAUGGAUGUAGAAGCCCUCUACACCAACAUUCCACACAAAGAUGGACAACAAGCCGUCAGGAACACUAUCCCCGAUAAUGUCACGGCUAACCUGGUGGCUGAACUUUGUGGCUUUGUCCUUACCCAUAACUAUUUCACAUUUGGGGACAAUGUAUACCUUCAGAUCAGCGGCACUGCUAUGGGUACCCGCAUGGCCCCACAGUAUGCCAACAUUUUUAUGGCUGAUUUAGAACAACGCUUCCUCAGCUCUCGUCCCCUAAAGCCCCUACUCUACUUGUGCUAUAUUGAUGACAUCUUCAUCAUCUGGACCCAUGGAAAAGAAGCCCUUGAGGAAUUCCACCAUGAUUUCAACAAUUUCCAUCCCACCACCAACCUCAGCCUGGUCCAGUCCACACAAGAGAUCCACUUCCUGGACACUACAGUGCUAAUAAACAAUGGUCACAUAAACACCACCCUAUACCGGAAACCUACUGACCGCUAUUCCUACCUGCAUGCCUCCAGCUUUCACCCUGACCACACCACACGAUCCAUCGUCUACAGCCAAGCUCUGCGAUACAACCGCAUUUGCUCCAACCCCUCAGACAGAGACAAACACCUACAAGAUCUCUGUCAAGCUUUCUUACAACUACAAUACCCACCUGCAGAAGUAAAGAAACAGAUUGAUAGAGCCAGAAGAGUUCCCAGAAGUUACCUACUACAGGACAGGCCUAACAAAGAAAAUAACAGAACGCCACUAGCCGUCACCUUCAGCCCCCAACUAAAACCCCUCCAACGCAUUAUUAAGGAUCUACAACCUAUCCUAAAGGAUGACCCAACACUCUCACAAAUCUUGGGAGACAGGCCAGUCCUUGCCUACAGACAGCCCCGCAACCUGAAGCAAAUACUCACCAACAACCACAUACCACACAACAGAACCACUAACCCAGGAACUUAUCCUUGCAACAAAGCCCGUUGCCAAUUGUGCCCACAUAUCUAUUCAGGGGACACCAUCACAGGGCCAAAUAACAUCAGCCACACUAUCAGAGGCUCGUUCACCUGCACGUCCAUCAAUGUGAUAUAUGCCAUCAUGUGCCAGCAAUGCCCCUCUGCCAUGUACAUUGGUCAAACUGGACAGUCUCUACGUAAAAGAAUAAAUGGACACAAAUCAGAUGUCAAGAAUUAUAACAUUCAUAAACCAGUCGGAGAACACUUCAAUCUCUCUGGUCACGCAAUCACAGACAUGAAGGUCGCUAUCUUAAAACAAAAAAACUUCAAAUCCAGACUCCAGCGAGAAACUGCUGAAUUGGAAUUCAUUUGCAAAUUAGAUACUAUUAAUUUAGGCUUAAAUAGAGACUGGGAGUGGCUAAGUCAUUAUGCAAGGCUGAGGAAUCAGGUCCACGUUUCACUAAAGAUCGGCCAGUCUUCCAGGGGACAGAGAAGGGAAAUGGCUGUGUUGGAGCCAGCUCAGAUGCCGGUGACCUUCGAGGAGGUGGCUAUUUAUUUCACCCAGGGGCAGGGGGCUCUGCUGGACCCCGCUCAGAGAGCCCUCUACAGGGACGUCAUGCAGGAGAACUAUGAGACGGUGACCUCGCUGGGAUUUCCCAUUCCCAAACCUGAGCUUAUCACCCAGCUGGAACAAGGGGAAGAGCUGUGGGUGUCCGAUCUCCAGGAUUUCAAGGACAGAAGGCUUCGGAGAUGCACCAGCACAGCAGGUGCUGAGCGAGGGAGUGAGAAGAAGGAGGGGAAUCAUCAUGAGACAGUUCCUGGGGAAGUGGAACCACAGGGGACCUUUUUGGGAAGAGCUGAAGGGAAUUUUUCCCCUUGCUGGAAUCAGGGAGAAGCCUGGAGAAAUUGGCACAGGUCAGAGAGGCUUCUGAUAAACCAACCCAGGAAGAAAGUGGAUGAAUCUGUGAAUGGUGCGGGAGGAGACGAGAAUCCCAGAGAGCAGCAGACAAAUCCCAAGGAAGAGACACCCUGGCACUGCCUUGAGUGUGGGAAAGGAUUCAUUGUGAGAUCACAACUUGUUACACAUCAGACAGUCCAUAUGGGAGAGAAACCAUUUCAAUGCUUGGACAGUGGGGAAAGCUUCAAUAAGCGCAGAGAUCUUAAUGACCAUGGGAGAAGCCACACUGUAGACAAGCCCAUUCAAUGCGUUGAAUGCAGGAAAUGUUUCAGUUCAAAGUCAGCACUAAAUUCACAUGAGAAAAGCCACACAGGAGAGAGACCUCAUAAAUGUUUAGACUGUGGGAAAAUUUUCACAUGGAGGUCGGCGCUUGUUAAUCAUCAGGCAGUCCACACAGGAGAGAGACCCCAUAAGUGCUUCGACUGUGGGAAAAGUUUCACAUGGAAGUCGGCGCUUGUUAAUCAUCAGGCAAUCCACACAGGAAAGAGACCCCAUAAGUGCUUCGACUGUGGGAAAAGUUUCAUAUGCAAGUCAUAUCUUGCUAAUCAUCAGGCAAUCCACACAGGAGAGAGACCCCACAAGUGCUUUGACUGUGGGAAAAGUUUCGUACGAAGGUCAAACCUUGUUCAACAUCAGGCAAUCCACACAGGAGAGAGACCCCACAAGUGUUUGGACUGUGGGAAAAAUUUCGUACAGCGGUCAACCCUUGUUAAACAUCAGGCAAUCCACACAGGAGAGAGACCCCACAAGUGCUUUGACUGUGGGAAAAGUUUCAAGCAGAAAUCAGUCCUUGUUCGUCAUCAGGCAAUCCACAGAGGAGAGAGACCCCACAAGUGCUUGGACUGUGGGAAAAGUUUCAUACGAAGGUCACGCCUUGUCCGUCAUCAGGCAAUCCACACAGAAGAGAGACCCCACAAGUGCAUUGACUGUGGGAAAAGUUUCAAGCAGAGGUCAGACCUUGUAAAACAUUGGGCAGUCCACACAGAAGAGAGACCCCACAAGUGCUUUGACUGUGGGAAAAGUUUCAAGCAGAGGUCAUACCUUGUAAAACAUUGGGCAGUCCACACAGAAGAGAGACCCCACAAGUGCUUUGACUGUGGGAAAAGUUUCAAGCAGAGUUCACACCUUCUUAAACAUCAGGCAACCCACAAACGAGAGAGACCCCACAAGUGCUUUGACUGUGGGAAAAGUUUCAUGCAGAGGUCACACCUUGUUGAACAUCAGGCAUACCACACAGGAGAGAGACCCCACAAAUGCUUGGAUUGUGGGAAAUGUUUCAUAACAAAGUCACACCUUGUUCAACAUCAGGCAAUCCACACAGGAGAGAGACCCCACAAAUGCUUGGAUUGUGGGAAAAGUUUCAUAACAAAGUCACACCUUGUUGAACAUCAGGCAAUCCACACAGGAGAGAGACCCCACAAGUGCUUGGAUUGUGGGAAAAGUUUCAUAACAAAGUCAUACCUUGUUCGUCAUCGGGCAGUCCACACAGAAGAGAGACCCCACAAGUGCUUUGACUGUGGGAAAAGUUUCAAGCAGAGAUCAGCGCUGGUUAAACAUCAGAGAAUCCACACAGGAGCGUGACUGUAUAAGUGCUUGGACUGUGGGAAAAGUUUCACAUGGAGAUCAGAUCUCGUUCAACAUGGAAGAAUCUAUACAAGAGAGAGACCCCCACAAGCGCUUAGACUGUGGGAAAAGUUUCAGACAGAGAUCAUAUCUCAUUAAAUAUGGGAGAAUCCACACAGGAUGGACGUGGUCCACUCCCAAUGACUGAUGAGGAGGGGUCAAUACCAACAAAGGGAAAAUUGCUUUUGUAGUGAGCCAGCCACUCCCAGUCCCUAUUUAGGCCCAAAUUGAUGGUGUUAAGUUUGCAAAUGAAUUGUAGCUCUGGAGUUUCUCUCUGAAGUCUGUGUUUGAAGUUUUUUGGUUGAAGGAUGGCUACUUUUAAAUCUGUUAUUGAAUGUCCAGGGAGAGUGAAAUGUUCUGCUACUGGCUUUUGUGUGUUACCGUUCCUGAUGUCGUAUUGGUGUCCAUUUAUUCUUUUACAUAGAGACUGUCCGGUCUGGCCAAUGUACGUGGCAGAGGGGCAUUGCUGGCCCAUGAUGGCAUACAUCACAUUGGUAGAUGUGCACGUGAAUGUGCCCCUGAUGGCGUGGCUGAUAUGGUUGGGUCCUAUGAUGGUGUCGCUAGAGUAGAUAUGGGGACAGAUUUGGCAAUGGAAUUUGUUGCAGGGAUUGGUUCCUGGGUUAGUGUUUCUGUGGUGUGGUGCUGGUGAGUAUUUGCUUCAGAUUGGGAGCUGUCUGUAAGCGAGGACUGGCCUGCCUCCCACGGUCUGUGAGAAUGAGGAAUCGUUUUCCAGGAUAGGUUGUAGAUCGUUGAUGAUGUGCUGGAGAGGUUUUAGUUGGGGGCUGUACAUGAUGGCCAGUGGUGUUCUGUUAUUUCCCUUGUUGGGCUAGUCCUGUAGAAGGUGACUUCUGGGUCUCCAUCUUGCUUUGUCAGUCUGUUUCCUCACUUCCCCAGGGGAGUAUUGUAGUUUUAAGAAUGCUUGAUAAAGAUCUUGUAGAUGUUUGUCUCUGCCUGAGGGAUUGGAGCAAAUGCGGUUGUAUCUUGGGGCAUGGCUGUAGACAAUGGAUCGUGUGAUGUGUCCUGGAUGGAAGCUGGAGGCAUGUAGGUAAGUAUAGAGGUCAAUAGGUUUCCAGUAUAGGGUGGUAUUUAUGUGACCAUCACUUAUUUGCACUAUAGUUUCCAGGAUCUCUUGUGUGGACUGGUCCAGGCUGAGGUCGAUGCUGGGGUGGAAAUUGUUGAAAUCCAGGUGGAAUUCUUCAAGGGCCUCCUUCCCAUGGGUCCAUAGGAUGAAGAUGUCAUCAAUGUAGCGCAAAUAGAGGAGGGGGCGCUAGGGGACGAGAGCUGAGGAAGCGUUGUUCUAAGUCAGCCAUAAAGAUGUUGGCAUGCUGUGGGGCCAUGCGGGUACCCAUAGCAGUCCCGCUGACUUGAAAGUAUAAAUUGUCCCCAGAUCUGAAAUGGUUGAGGGUGAGGACAAAGUCACAAAGCUCAGCCACCAGGUGUGCUGUGGCGUCAUCAGGGAUAAUGUUCUUGACAGCUUGUAGGCCAUCCUCAUGUGGAACAUUGGUGUAAAGAGCUUCUACAUCCAUGGUGGCCAGAAUGGUGUUUUCAGGAAGAUCACCAAUACGUUGUAGUUUCCUCAGGAACUUGGUGGUAUCUCGAAGAUAGCUGGGAGUGCUGGUAGCAUAGGGUGUGAGGAGAGAGUCCACAUCGCCAGAUAAUCCUGCUGUAAGAGUGCCGAUGCCUGAGAUGAUGGGGCGUCCAGGAUUUCCAGGUUUAUGGAUCUUGUGUAGCAGAUAGAAUACCCCUGGUCGGGGCUCUAGGGGUGUGUCUGUGUAGAUUUGUUCCUGUGCUGUAGCAGAGAGUUUCUUGAGCAGUUGGUGUAGUUUCUUUUGAUACUCCUUAGUGGGAUGGAGGACAGUGGCCUUUAGAAUGUGGUAGAAUCCUAGAAUAUGAGGGUUGGAAGGGACCUCAGGAGGUCAUCUAGUCCAACCCCCUGCUCAAAGCAGGACCAAUCUCCCAUUUUUGUCCCACAUCCCUAAAUGUCCCCCUCAAGGAUUGAACUCACAACCCUGGGUUUAGCAGGCCAAUGCUCAAACCACUGAGCUAUCCUUCCCCCCCAAAGGUACCACCUCCCUAGGUAACGCAUUCCAGUGUUUCAUCACCCUCCUAGUGAAAAAGAUUUUCCUAAUAUCCAACCUAAACCUCCCCCACUGCAACUUGAGACCAUUACUCCUUGUCCUGUCAUCCGCUACCACUGAGAAUAGUCUAGAUCCAUCCUCUUUGGAACCUCCUUUCAGGUAGUUGAAAGCAGCUAUCAAAUCUCCCCUCAUUCUUCUCUUCUGUAGACUAAAUAAUCCCAGAUCCCUCAGCCUCUCUUCGUAAGUCAUGUGUUCCAGUCCCCUAAUCAUUUUUGUUGCCCUCCGCUGGACUCUCUCCAAUAUUUCCACAUCCUUCUUGUAGUGUGGGGCCCAAAACUGGACACAGUACUCCAGAUGAGGCCUCACCAAUGUCGAAUAGAGGGGAACGAUCACGUCCCUCGAUCUGCUGCCAAUGCCCCUACUUAUUCAUCCCAAAAUGGCAUUGGCCUUCUUGGCUACAAGGGCACACUGUUGACUCAUAUCCAGCUUCUCAUCCACUGUCACCCCUAGGUCCUUUUCUGCAGAACUGCUGCCAAGACUUUCGGUCCCUAGUCUGUAGCGGUGCAUUGCAUUCUUCCGUCCUAAGUGCAGGACUCUGCACUUGUCCUUGUUGAACCUCAUCAGAUUUCUUUUGGCCCAAUCCUCCCAUUUGUCUAGGUCCCUCUGUAUCCUAUCGCUACCCUCCAGCGUAUCUACCGCUCCUCCCAGUUUAGUGUCGUCUGCAAACUUCCUGAGGGUGCAGUCCACACCAUCCUCCAGAUCAUUAAUGAAGAUAUUGAAGAAAAGCGGCUCCAGGACCGACCCUUGGGGCACUCCGCUUGAUACUGGCUGCCAACUAGACAUGGAGCCAUUGAUCACUACCUAUUGAGCCCAACAAUCUAGCCAAUUUUCUACCCACCUUAUAGUGCAUUUGUCCAGCCCAUACUUCUUUAACUUGCUGACAAGAAGACUGUGGGAGACAGUGUCAAAAGCUUUGCUGAAGUCAAGGAACACUACGUCCACUGCUUUCCCUUCAUCCACAGAACCAGUUAUCUUGUCAUAGGAAAGUUGUAGGAAAGUUGCCUGGCAGUCUCCUGUUCAUAAUUGUGAGGGGAAAUUAACCUAGUUAGCAUAUGUGACUCCAUUUUGGGUUUCCUCUCGGCCGUUAACUAGAAGUGAGCACAUCACGUACCAAGGAAGGAGGAUCCUUCCGAGUGGACAGCUGGACAGUUUCAAGAUAAGGGAAACAAAGGAGACAGGAACUAGCGGACAUGCCUGAAAUAGCUGCUAAUUCAGCGUUUUUGCAGGGGGAAGUUGGCUGCAGGGGAUUGGUGAUAGAUAAGGAGAAGGCCUGUUUGUUGGGUUAUGCGACCCGAGGCACACAGGCAGGAUGUUUUGCCAACAGUAUAUAAUCUUUGUGUAACCUGUAAUCGGGGUCCCGCUCUGCUUAAGAGAACGGUACCACCCUCGAGCGUAAUAAACCUACAAACGCUGA